Solea senegalensis (Senegalese sole) is the source of this 3032-nucleotide long non-coding RNA. RefSeq lists it as uncharacterized. The record is from RefSeq and is a predicted model, not a curated record. NCBI's taxonomy places the organism in Eukaryota, Metazoa, Chordata, Actinopteri, Pleuronectiformes, Soleidae. The transcript is spliced from 2 exons.
AUCACCACCACAUCACUCUUUCCUCCCUCCUCCCUCUCUGCCUCCCUCCCCCAUGUGCAUAGGUAGUGUGUGUGUGUGUGAGCACGCGUUUGUAGAGUUUAGUGUGUGCUUGUGCGAGCCCCACCACGUGUGUGCGAGAAGGACCAACAUUAACACAUGAGAUGUAACACAUAAUGUAAAAAUGUCAACAUUGAGAAGUAACCUGUUCUGAGUCGGGAUGGGAUCUGUGAGUAGACGAGGCUUUAAUUGCGAGUGUUAGACGACCGUCACUCCUGCAGCUGUGGACUUGGUUUUGUUGAUUUGAAAGGAAAAAAAAACUUUUUUUUUUUGUUAAUGUCAAUAUUGACUUUUUGAGGUUCAUAUUUUAAAUGAUUUAGGGAAUAUCUUUUGUCUUAAUGUCACUACAGUACCAACAGUAGAUUGUUUCUUUUUUUUUUUGCUUCGAUUCCCUUGUCAUGAAAAAGAAAAUUUAAGAUAUGAGAAACGUUCUUGUUCUGUACAGAGAAUGAACACUAUUUUAUGCAAUUUUUUUUAAAAAACGGCUUUGUAAAUUGUUUGACCAGCGUGGCUUAGACAUACCGCCUUGAUUUCUUUUCUAAUGUUUACCAUUGUGUCUUCAGUAUAAACUCACAAGUGUUUCAAGAGAGAGAGAGAGAGGACGAGUUGCACGUGCGUGGCAGACGAGGAUGGGGAAAGGUUUGGGUGCGAACGUCUGAAUGCUCCGCUUAAACGAAAACGAAAAGCAAAACGCCGCAUGCCCCGUGUGACCAAGCAUGGACUGUAUAUGGUUUUCUUAUUUCUAAUUUAAUGUAUUCCCCUCCCCCGUCAUUGUUAGAGUUUAAAUUAACUUCAUGGAUGUUUUUUUCUCCUUUUUUUUUUUUAGAUCAUUUGAAUACAAGCCAGUUUUUCUGCACUAGGCAGAGCACAGCUACCUCAAUAUGAUAAAAGAUUUUUUUUUUUGCUCAUCUCUAGAUGCUUUUCCCGAAUGGUCUUGCCAAUGUGUAACAUCCGAGGUGUGCCCCUAUUCGCUUGUGCAGAAAACAAAAGAACUUAAUAUUCCGUCAGCCUAACACUUUUAAGAAUAUAUAUUGUUUUGCAUUGUGUUUCCUUUUUUUGACGUCAUUAACUUUAUUCACUCUGGUGACAGAACUGAUUGGGAAAUGACUUAUUGUCAAUUUCCGUCUCCAUGUUGAUUCAAAGGACAAUAAUAUUAAAAAGAAUUGAGAGAUCAAUACCAAUACAAGUACUUCAAAUGAACCUGGAAUGCAAAUGAGAAGCCAAAAUGUUUUCUUUUUUUACUUAAAGGAAAAAAAAAAAUACAUUCUUGAACCCUUUGAAUCAAAGUGUUUUCUGUCUUUAUUCAAUACGAUCUAGGGCCGGCGGUUGUGGUCGACAUCAUUCACAUUCAGUGUUUUUGUAUGUACAUAUGAUACUUGAAUACAAACCAUUUCAGACAUAUGAAUGCUCGAGUCUCCUUGGCACAAAAAAGUCUGGUAGAAAAUAAUCACGACACAGUGAAACCCAUGUUGUGUGUAUUUGACCUAUAGGCUUUCUAUCUUUUUAGAGGUUGUGUUCAGUGUUGUGUUUAUGUGUGUUGGAGCUGAGCCCGUUCAGACAACUGCACUAAUCCCAAGAAUCAUCAUUAUUAUUAUUAUUAUUAUUAUUAUUAUAAUAAUAAUAAUUUUUUUUGUAUGGAGUUUUCUUAGUGUGUGGCGAACCCCCGUGCGUGUCUCGUCAAUAGCAUGUUUGUGGGGGAUGAGAAGCCUGGGUGUGUUUGCACGGUGUUCCGCGUUAACAACUGUGUGCUUUCUUCCACAAUGCCUCCCAUUGGCUCCCUGUCACUAGAGUUGGCUUUCAUAAAAAAACAAAACCUUUCACAAUAUCUAAAGAGUGAACUGGAAGGCCGGAGUCCUCCCGCCUCUCGGUGCACACAGUAUGUAUUCACUGAAUCUCCACGCACCUCCGACGCCAUGAUGACCAGCAGCAGCAGUGUGUGCGCGCGCGUGUUGUUGCACCAACAAUUAUACAGGACAUGUUUUCACAGUCGUGAGACCAAACACAUGAGGGUAGAAGUUGUCGAGCUGGAAACUGUCCCCCGUUCACUAAACACAAAAACACUUAUUACACACUUAUACCUCCGUGUGCAGAUAGCUAUAUCAAUAUCACACUGUUCCAGUUGCAGAUUUGUGUGCAGGGAAGUUCCUAAACACCCUCAACAUCCCUUCUUGCAUGUAAAAAACAAAUUGUUUCCAGCGUUCAUGGUAGUGUAGAGACUCUUUAAAAAACCAAAAAAAAUUAAAAAUAAAGAAAACACUGGGUUUAUCAGUCUUAGCUGUACAUCCGCAUAUAAAACUCAUGCAUGCAACUCCGUCGCUGUAUGUAGGCUUUGCAAUUUGUAAUGUAUAGAUUCUAAUGUAUAAUAACUCGUACGACUUACAGACGGUUUUAUGAUGGUUAUAUCGUAGACAUGAGGGAAAUCACUGUUUUUAAAUGUAACAGUUUGGGUAAUUUGCACAAUAUUAGACCGUGAGCAACGACUCACGCUGAACUUGACUGUGCUCUACUUUCCUUCUCUUUUCUGAUUUUCCUCUUCCCUAUCCCCCCCUUUAAGUAUCGUAGGUCCGUCACCAAGCCAUUUCCAUUUUUAAAAUAAUUCAUUUUCAAUGAGGUCAACAGACUUUGACACUUGGGCGUCAUUUGUAAUUCUUGCAAUACAACAGUGUUUCUGUUUUUGUUUUUUUUCUUACUGCCUCUGCCGUUGUCAUUCUGAUAAUUAUUGCUGUUAUUCCUUCUGUCAUCAUUCAGUAUAUCUUUAAUAACUGCUGUAAAACUGUGAUCUAAUGUGAGGGCGGGGGUGGAGGCCUGUGUCGCACACCCUCACCUCAGCAACUCCUGAUCGAAGAACAAUAUUAACCAUAUGUUUAAAAAAAAAAAAGACCAUUCGAUCAUUAUUGAAGAUUAGUAAUGAUUGUACAUGCAUUACUGCGGUUGUGGUUUCAGGUAAAUAAAGUAAUAUACUAUUUGAAUUUGAA